AGGCUCGCGAGAAGCCAUGUUUGCACAUGUGGGCAGGGUCGGUGCUGCUAUCUGUGGCUCUGCAGGCACAUUGAUUGUACGGAAAAAGGGGGCGAGGCCUAGUAGAGAGGCAACGCCGAGCGCAACGCUAGGAGGACGUCUCACUUCUCCACACUUCACUCACAGUGGCUGCGAGGCUGUUCCCGUAUUCGGUUAAAACUACGUCACUUCCGGACUGGUCGGAUCGCGCUCGUCGGUAUUGCUCUCGACGAUAUUCCGACCGAAUUUAUGUUUGAAAAAUUCUGAAAUACAUCAAGUCCGAUCGACUUCGAUGCGGAUUGACAUAGAUACGUUGAAAUGAAAGAGGGAAAAAAGAGUCGAAGUUAUCGACUGAUGGAUUAAGUCCUCAAUGGUCAUCGAACAGAUUUACCGAGUAAAAAUGUGAAUAUUUCAAGUAUCGUUAUUAUUAGUCCACGAUGCAGAUACCCGCUCAAGAUAAUCCCGACCUCUUUCAAUUCAUAUCCAUGUCACGGGGUAUUAAAGAUUCAGCAUCUUUUCGUCUAUUUACCCUUUAUUUCGGAUCAAGUUAGUCUCCGCUGACGGUAAAUGGAUAAAUUGGAUUUACGAUAUUAUGCUCGUAAUUAAAUAAAGCUUAUUAUUCGAUCAAA
Long non-coding RNA from Athalia rosae (coleseed sawfly), 647 nucleotides. RefSeq lists it as uncharacterized. The record is from RefSeq and is a predicted model, not a curated record. The transcript is spliced from 2 exons. Lineage: Eukaryota; Metazoa; Arthropoda; Insecta; Hymenoptera; Athaliidae.